RNAcentral lists this unclassified non-coding RNA (157 nucleotides) under uncultured Helotiales. RNAcentral describes it as "sequence contains ITS1". Lineage: Eukaryota; Fungi; Ascomycota; Leotiomycetes; Helotiales. The record is from RNAcentral.
CAGAGAACCUCGCCCUCGUGGGUGAAUCUCCAACCCUGUGUUAUAUUUACUCUGUUGCUUUGGCGAGCCGCUUUAGCCACCGGUCUACGCCGGUGAGUGCUCGCCAGGGAACCCUAAACUCUUAUUUUAUUAUUGUCUGAGCACUAUAAAAUAGUUA